Non-coding RNA from Xyrichtys novacula (pearly razorfish), 293 nucleotides. The record is from the annotation of a GenBank genome assembly. Lineage: Eukaryota; Metazoa; Chordata; Actinopteri; Labriformes; Labridae.
UUUAACACUUAGACUGACUCCAGAUCCUGCACUUGAACCCACAUUCUUUUGAUGCUGUGAUGGCUGUGUUGGUGGGAGACCGGGCACAAUGACACUUCUGACACAAUUUCAGACCUACUGAAGUCCAGUUGAGACUCAUGUGGUCUGAUUAAAUGAUUAUCUGAUGUGUGACCACCUUGCUGUAUAGUAGUCUCACCUACACAGUUUUGGCAGGUAAGUCCAACUUAUAUUGUGCAUAAGCGAGCUGGGGAUUUUGGUCAGCAGUACAGUCAUCACAAUGAUGAACUACUGAC